This 446-nucleotide ribosomal RNA is filed under the name uncultured bacterium. Its description in RNAcentral is "partial 16S ribosomal RNA". It matches the Rfam family "Bacterial small subunit ribosomal RNA", at positions 330 to 792 of the family's 1533-position model. The record is from RNAcentral.
UCCAGACUCCUACGGGAGGCAGCAGUGGGGGAUAUUGCACAAUGGGGGGAACCCUGAUGCAGCGACGCCGCGUGGGUGAAGGAGCGUUUCGGCGCGUAAAGCCCUAUCGGCAGGGAAGAAGGAGGACGGUACCUGACUAAGAAGCCCCGGCUAACUACGUGCCAGCAGCCGCGGUAAUACGUAGGGGGCAAGAGUUAUCCGGAUUUACUGGGUGUAAAGGGGGCGCAGACGGCAGCGCAAGCCAGGAGUGAAAGCCCGGGGCCCAACCCCGGGACUGCUCUUGGAACUGCGCGGCUGGAGUGCAGGAGGGGCAGGCGGAAUUCCUGGUGUAGCGGUGAAAUGCGUAGAUAUCAGGAGGAACACCGGUGGCGAAGGCGGCCUGCUGGACUGCGACUGACGUUGAGGCCCGAAAGCGUGGGGAGCAAACAGGAUUAGAUACCCUAGUA